Molecule: ribosomal RNA, 374 nt
Filed under: uncultured bacterium
Lineage: Bacteria
Description: bacterial SSU rRNA
Rfam family: Bacterial small subunit ribosomal RNA
Source: RNAcentral
AUACGGAGGGUGCGAGCGUUGUCCGGAUUUAUUGGGUUUAAAGGGUGCGUAGGUGGCUGUUUAAGUCAGUGGUGAAAUACGGUUGCUCAACAAUCGAGGUGCCAUUGAUACUGAAUAGCUUGAAAUAAUUGGAGGCUGCCGGAAUGGAUGGUGUAGCGGUGAAAUGCAUAGAUAUCAUCCAGAACACCGAUUGCGAAGGCAGGUGGCUACGAUUCAUUUGACACUGAGGCACGAAAGCAUGGGGAGCAAACAGGAUUAGAUACCCUGGUAGUCCAUGCCGUAAACGAUGAGGACUCGCUGUUUGGCUGUCACGGCUGAGCGGCUUAGGGAAACCGUUAAGUCCUCCACCUGGGGAGUACGCCGGCAACGGUGAA